RNAcentral lists this ribosomal RNA (450 nucleotides) under uncultured bacterium. Its description in RNAcentral is "partial 16S ribosomal RNA". It matches the Rfam family "Bacterial small subunit ribosomal RNA", at positions 354 to 796 of the family's 1533-position model. The record is from RNAcentral.
GUGGGGAAUCUUCCGCAAUGGACGAAAGUCUGACGGAGCAACGCCGCGUGAGUGAAGAAGGUUUUCGGAUCGUAAAGCUCUUUCGUUAGGGACGAACGUGCUCUUUGUGAAUAAUGAGGAGUAAUGACGGUACCUAAAUAAGAAGCCACGGCUAACUACGUGCCAGCAGCCGCGGUAAUACGUAGGUGGCAAGCGUUGUCCGGAAUUAUUGGGCGUAAAGCGCGCGCAGGCGGGAUAUCAAGUCUGUCUUAAAAGUGCGAGGCUCAACCUCGUGAGGGGACAGAAACUGGCAUUCUUGAGUGUCGGAGAGGAAAGUGGAAUUCCAAGUGUAGCGGUGAAAUGCGUAGAGAUUUGGAAGAACACCAGUGGCGAAGGCGACUUUCUGGACGAUGUCUGACGCUGAGGCGCGAAAGCUAGGGGAGCGAACGGGAUUAGAAACCCUGGUAGUCC